This 494-nucleotide ribosomal RNA is filed under the name uncultured bacterium. RNAcentral's name for it is "partial 16S ribosomal RNA". It matches the Rfam family "Bacterial small subunit ribosomal RNA", at positions 28 to 507 of the family's 1533-position model. The record is from RNAcentral.
GACGAACGCUGGCGGCGUGCUUAACACAUGCAAGUCGAACGGUGAAGCGCCUUCCUUUUUGGUGGGUGUGGAUGAGUGGCGAACGGGUGAGUAACACGUGAGUAACCUGCCCCCUUCUUCUGGAUAACCGCAUGAAAGUGUGGCUAAUACGGGAUAUUCUGGGUCUGUCGCAUGAUGGGUCUGGGAAAGAUAUUGUUUCGGUUGGGGAUGGGCUCGCGGCCUAUCAGCUUGUUGGUGGGGUGAUGGCCUACCAAGGCGGUGACGGGUAGCCGGCCUGAGAGGGUGGACGGUCACACAGGGACUGAGACACGGCCAAGACUCCUACGGGAGGCAGCAGUGGGGAAUAUUGCACAGUGGGCGCAAGCCUGAUGCAGCGACGCCGCGUGAGGGAUGGAGGCCUGCGGGUUGUGAACCUCUUUCGCCAGUGAAGCAGGCCUGCCUCGUUUGUGGGUGGGUUGACGGUAGCUGGAUAAGAAGCGCCGGCUAACUACGUG